This 2719-nucleotide ribosomal RNA is filed under the name Pseudomonas aeruginosa BWH033. RNAcentral's name for it is "bacterial LSU rRNA". It matches the Rfam family "Bacterial large subunit ribosomal RNA". Lineage: Bacteria; Pseudomonadati; Pseudomonadota; Gammaproteobacteria; Pseudomonadales; Pseudomonadaceae. The record is from RNAcentral.
UCAAGUGAAGAAGCGCAUACGGUGGAUGCCUUGGCAGUCAGAGGCGAUGAAAGACGUGGUAGCCUGCGAAAAGCUUCGGGGAGUCGGCAAACAGACUUUGAUCCGGAGAUCUCUGAAUGGGGGAACCCACCUAGGAUAACCUAGGUAUCUUGUACUGAAUCCAUAGGUGCAAGAGGCGAACCAGGGGAACUGAAACAUCUAAGUACCCUGAGGAAAAGAAAUCAACCGAGAUUCCCUUAGUAGUGGCGAGCGAACGGGGAUUAGCCCUUAAGCUUCAUUGAUUUUAGCGGAACGCUCUGGAAAGUGCGGCCAUAGUGGGUGAUAGCCCCGUACGCGAAAGGAUCUUUGAAGUGAAAUCGAGUAGGACGGAGCACGAGAAACUUUGUCUGAACAUGGGGGGACCAUCCUCCAAGGCUAAAUACUACUGACUGACCGAUAGUGAACCAGUACCGUGAGGGAAAGGCGAAAAGAACCCCGGAGAGGGGAGUGAAAUAGAACCUGAAACCGUAUGCGUACAAGCAGUGGGAGCCUACUUGUUAGGUGACUGCGUACCUUUUGUAUAAUGGGUCAGCGACUUAUAUUCAGUGGCAAGCUUAACCGUAUAGGGUAGGCGUAGCGAAAGCGAGUCUUAAUAGGGCGUUUAGUCGCUGGGUAUAGACCCGAAACCGGGCGAUCUAUCCAUGAGCAGGUUGAAGGUUAGGUAACACUGACUGGAGGACCGAACCCACUCCCGUUGAAAAGGUAGGGGAUGACUUGUGGAUCGGAGUGAAAGGCUAAUCAAGCUCGGAGAUAGCUGGUUCUCCUCGAAAGCUAUUUAGGUAGCGCCUCAUGUAUCACUCUGGGGGGUAGAGCACUGUUUCGGCUAGGGGGUCAUCCCGACUUACCAAACCGAUGCAAACUCCGAAUACCCAGAAGUGCCGAGCAUGGGAGACACACGGCGGGUGCUAACGUCCGUCGUGAAAAGGGAAACAACCCAGACCGCCAGCUAAGGUCCCAAAGUUGUGGUUAAGUGGUAAACGAUGUGGGAAGGCUUAGACAGCUAGGAGGUUGGCUUAGAAGCAGCCACCCUUUAAAGAAAGCGUAAUAGCUCACUAGUCGAGUCGGCCUGCGCGGAAGAUGUAACGGGGCUCAAACCACACACCGAAGCUGCGGGUGUCACGUAAGUGACGCGGUAGAGGAGCGUUCUGUAAGCCUGUGAAGGUGAGUUGAGAAGCUUGCUGGAGGUAUCAGAAGUGCGAAUGCUGACAUGAGUAACGACAAUGGGUGUGAAAAACACCCACGCCGAAAGACCAAGGGUUCCUGCGCAACGUUAAUCGACGCAGGGUUAGUCGGUUCCUAAGGCGAGGCUGAAAAGCGUAGUCGAUGGGAAACAGGUUAAUAUUCCUGUACUUCUGGUUACUGCGAUGGAGGGACGGAGAAGGCUAGGCCAGCUUGGCGUUGGUUGUCCAAGUUUAAGGUGGUAGGCUGAAAUCUUAGGUAAAUCCGGGGUUUCAAGGCCGAGAGCUGAUGACGAGUCGUCUUUUAGAUGACGAAGUGGUUGAUGCCAUGCUUCCAAGAAAAGCUUCUAAGCUUCAGGUAACCAGGAACCGUACCCCAAACCGACACAGGUGGUCGGGUAGAGAAUACCAAGGCGCUUGAGAGAACUCGGGUGAAGGAACUAGGCAAAAUGGCACCGUAACUUCGGGAGAAGGUGCGCCGGCUAGGGUGAAGGAUUUACUCCGUAAGCUCUGGCUGGUCGAAGAUACCAGGCCGCUGCGACUGUUUAUUAAAAACACAGCACUCUGCAAACACGAAAGUGGACGUAUAGGGUGUGACGCCUGCCCGGUGCCGGAAGGUUAAUUGAUGGGGUUAGCGCAAGCGAAGCUCUUGAUCGAAGCCCCGGUAAACGGCGGCCGUAACUAUAACGGUCCUAAGGUAGCGAAAUUCCUUGUCGGGUAAGUUCCGACCUGCACGAAUGGCGUAACGAUGGCGGCGCUGUCUCCACCCGAGACUCAGUGAAAUUGAAAUCGCUGUGAAGAUGCAGUGUAUCCGCGGCUAGACGGAAAGACCCCGUGAACCUUUACUGUAGCUUUGCACUGGACUUUGAGCCUGCUUGUGUAGGAUAGGUGGGAGGCUUUGAAGCGUGGACGCCAGUUCGCGUGGAGCCAUCCUUGAAAUACCACCCUGGCAUGCUUGAGGUUCUAACUCUGGUCCGUAAUCCGGAUCGAGGACAGUGUAUGGUGGGCAGUUUGACUGGGGCGGUCUCCUCCUAAAGAGUAACGGAGGAGUACGAAGGUGCGCUCAGACCGGUCGGAAAUCGGUCGCAGAGUAUAAAGGCAAAAGCGCGCUUGACUGCGAGACAGACACGUCGAGCAGGUACGAAAGUAGGUCUUAGUGAUCCGGUGGUUCUGUAUGGAAGGGCCAUCGCUCAACGGAUAAAAGGUACUCCGGGGAUAACAGGCUGAUACCGCCCAAGAGUUCAUAUCGACGGCGGUGUUUGGCACCUCGAUGUCGGCUCAUCACAUCCUGGGGCUGAAGCCGGUCCCAAGGGUAUGGCUGUUCGCCAUUUAAAGUGGUACGCGAGCUGGGUUUAGAACGUCGUGAGACAGUUCGGUCCCUAUCUGCCGUGGACGUUUGAGAUUUGGGAGGGGCUGCUCCUAGUACGAGAGGACCGGAGUGGACGAACCUCUGGUGUUCCGGUUGUCACGCCAGUGGCAUUGCCGGGUAGCUAUGUUCGGAA